Molecule: ribosomal RNA, 158 nt
Filed under: Entoloma asterosporum
Lineage: Eukaryota; Fungi; Basidiomycota; Agaricomycetes; Agaricales; Entolomataceae
Also listed under: 1 other name
Description: Richoniella asterospora 5.8S ribosomal RNA
Rfam family: 5.8S ribosomal RNA
About the family: 5.8S ribosomal RNA (5.8S rRNA) is a component of the large subunit of the eukaryotic ribosome. It is transcribed by RNA polymerase I as part of the 45S precursor that also contains 18S and 28S rRNA.
Source: RNAcentral
CAACUUUCAACAACGGAUCUCUUGGCUCUCGCAUCGAUGAAGAACGCAGCGAAAUGCGAUAAGUAAUGUGAAUUGCAGAAUUCAGUGAAUCAUCGAAUCUUUGAACGCACCUUGCGCUCCUUGGUAUUCUGAGGAGCAUGCCUGUUUGAGUGUCAUGA